The sequence is a ribosomal RNA, 437 nucleotides long. It matches the Rfam family "Bacterial small subunit ribosomal RNA", at positions 341 to 792 of the family's 1533-position model.
ACGGGAGGCAGCAGUGGGGAAUAUUGGGCAAUGGGCGAAAGCCUGACCCAGCGACGCCGCGUGAAGGAAGAAGGUCUUCGGAUUGUAAACUUCUUUUAUGAGGGACGAAACAAAUGACGGUACCUCAUGAAUAAGCCACGGCUAACUACGUGCCAGCAGCCGCGGUAAUACGUAGGUGGCAAGCGUUAUCCGGAUUUACUGGGUGUAAAGGGCGCGUAGGCGGGAAUGCAAGUCAGAUGUGAAAUCUCUGGGCUCAACCCAGAAACUGCAUUUGAAACUGUAUUUCUUGAGUGCUGGAGAGGUAGAUGGAAUUCCUAGUGUAGCGGUGAAAUGCGUAGAUAUUAGGAGGAACACCAGUGGCGAAGGCGGCUUACUGGACGAUAACUGACGUUGAGGCUCGAAAGCGUGGGGAGCAAACAGGAUUAGAUACCCUGGUA